UGGGGAAUUUUGGACAAUGGGCGCAAGCCUGAUCCAGCAAUGCCGCGUGCAGGAUGAAGGCCUUCGGGUUGUAAACUGCCUUUGUACGGAACGAAAAGGCUCUGGCUAAUACCUGGGGCACAUGACGGUACCGUAAGAAUAAGCACCGGCUAACUACGUGCCAGCAGCCGCGGUAAUACGUAGGGUGCGAGCGUUAAUCGGAAUUACUGGGCGUAAAGCGUGCGCAGGCGGUUUUGUAAGACAGAGGUGAAAUCCCCGGGCUCAACCUGGGAACUGCCUUUGUGACUGCAAGGCUGGAGUGCGGCAGAGGGGGAUGGAAUUCCGCGUGUAGCAGUGAAAUGCGUAGAUAUGCGGAGGAACACCGAUGGCGAAGGCAAUCCCCUGGGCCUGCACUGACGCUCAUGCACGAAAGCGUGGGGGAGCAAACAGGAUUAGAUACCCCUGGUAGUCCACGCCCUAAACGAUGUCAACUGGCUUGUUGGGUCUUAUUGACUCAGUAACGAAGCUAACGCGUGAAGUUGGACCGCCUGGGGGAGUACGGCCGCAAGGUUGAAACUCAAAGGAAUUGACGGGGUCAUAGCUGUUUCCU
RNAcentral lists this ribosomal RNA (589 nucleotides) under uncultured bacterium. Its description in RNAcentral is "partial 16S ribosomal RNA". It matches the Rfam family "Bacterial small subunit ribosomal RNA", at positions 355 to 1375 of the family's 1533-position model. The record is from RNAcentral.